UAUUUUACCACAGUAAGCUGCUUUUGCAACUUAUUUUACCCAUUCCAUGACGUUUCUUCCUUUGUCUCUAGUUGAAAUGGAAAUUGUUGCUGAUAAGUCUGAACGCGUCAACUGUCCAUUUGAUCCUGUUCAUGUCAUUGAGAGACGGAGAUUGCAGGCACAUAUAAUAAAGUGCAAACGUAAUCUCCCUGCAAAUCAUGACUUUGUUCAAUGCCAAUUUUGGACCUUACAUUAUGUGAAGAAACGUGAUCUGGAAGCACAUUAUUUAACAUGUGAGCAUGCCUUAAUGAAACAGGCAACAAAGAGGAUGGCAUCUGCUGAACCAUCUAGAUUUAGGGAGCCUAAACUAAUUUACAAUGAUACCACAACAACACAGUCUUCAUUUACAGACGAGUCAUGGGAUAUCCCAUCUGACCAACCUACUUUUACACCAGAAGCAUUGAGAGCACAAGCAACACACAUGACAAUACCUCUUGGGUUAACAAAGUCAAAGCGAAGAGAGUAUAGAGAACAGGAACGUAAAAGACUUCGAGAACAAGAAGCUGCUGAGCUGCUCGUAAAACCUGAAAAAACUUCGGCGCUGGGAACUUCAGCAAUUAUAUCAGAGCCAAAUGAAAACCCAAGGAGACCAGAGAUGCCAGCAAACCGCCCUAUAAAUGCGUCGUUUGUCCCGUCAACUGGAUCAAGUUAUCCUGAAAGUUCUACCGGAUCAUCUGCACCCACUAAUUAUGCUGAUGCUGGUCUCCCCCAAUACGGGCUGUCCCGUCAAGGCAUGCCACCAGCUCACGGGAUGCCUUCUUCCCAUAGAAUGCCUUCUCACGGGCAGAUGCCUAGCAGGGGAAGGGGAUAUUUACUUUCUCAAUCAACGUGGACUGACAACGCCCGACAGACAUACCAUCCCUAUCCCUAUAAUGGAAUUCCGUACCGUUAUUCGCCAGAUGAUUUUCCUGGCUUGUGAAACUACGAAGUUGUUCUAGUUUCAAGAAAUCUCUCAUUUCCCGGCAGCUUUGCAGCUAAAGAUUGCCCUGGUUUCGACGACUUGAAAAAGGAAACGAUGCAACUGACAUCGCCAACGGCUUGAUUACGAUAGCAGGCAUGAAUCCAAAACGCUAUCUCGCCCCAAACAAAAAAAAAACACGUAAACAGGUAGGGACGG
This is an RNA transcript of Daphnia carinata, 1156 nucleotides long. It is a transcript of the gene named protein D7-like, with no coding region annotated. Lineage: Eukaryota; Metazoa; Arthropoda; Branchiopoda; Diplostraca; Daphniidae. The record is from RefSeq and is a predicted model, not a curated record. The transcript has 9 exons.